Molecule: ribosomal RNA, 449 nt
Filed under: uncultured bacterium
Lineage: Bacteria
Description: partial 16S ribosomal RNA
Rfam family: Bacterial small subunit ribosomal RNA
Source: RNAcentral
AGCGAACGCUGGCGGCAGGCUUAACACAUGCAAGUCGAGCGGGCCCUUCGGGGUCAGCGGCGGACGGGUGAGUAACGCGUGGGAACGUGCCUUCUGGUUCGGAAUAACCCUGGGAAACUAGGGCUAAUACCGGAUACGCCCUUAUGGGGAAAGGUUUACUGCCGGAAGAUCGGCCCGCGUCUGAUUAGCUGGUUGGUGGGGUAACGGCCUACCAAGGCGACGAUCAGUAGCUGGUCUGAGAGGAUGAUCAGCCACACUGGGACUGAGACACGGCCCAGACUCCUACGGGAGGCAGCAAUGGGGAAUAUUGGACAAUGGGCGCAAGCCUGAUCCAGCCAUGCCGCGUGAGUGAUGAAGGCCUUAGGGUUGUAAAGCUCUUUUAUCCGGGACGAUAAUGACGGUACCGGAGGAAUAAGCCCCGGCUAACUUCGUGCCAGCCGCCGCAGUAA